GAUGAACGCUGGCGGCGUGCCUAAUACAUGCAAGUCGAGCGAACAGACGAGAGUGCUUGCACUCUCUGACGUUAGCGGCGGACGGGUGAGUAACACGUGGGUAACCUACCUAUAAGACUGGGAUAACUUCGGGAAACCGGAGCUAAUACCGGAUAAUAUUUAGCUUCGCAUGAAGCAAUAGUGAAAGACGGUUCUGCUGUCACUUAUAGAUGGACCCGCGGUGUAUUAGCUAGUUGGUGAGGUAACGGCUCACCAAGGCAACGAUACAUAGCCGACCUGAGAGGGUGAUCGGCCACACUGGGACUGAGACACGGCCCAGACUCCUACGGGAGGCAGCAGUAGGGAAUCUUCCGCAAUGGACGAAAGUCUGACGGAGCAAUGCCGCGUGAGUGAAGAAGGUUUUCGGAUCGUAAAACUCUGUUGUAAGGGAAGAACAAGUACGUUAGUAACUGAACGUACCUUGACAGUACCUUACCAGAAAGCCACGGCUAACUACGUG
Molecule: ribosomal RNA, 499 nt
Filed under: uncultured bacterium
Lineage: Bacteria
Description: partial 16S ribosomal RNA
Rfam family: Bacterial small subunit ribosomal RNA
Source: RNAcentral